This is a non-coding RNA of Trichonephila inaurata madagascariensis, 73 nucleotides long. The record is from the annotation of a GenBank genome assembly. NCBI's taxonomy places the organism in Eukaryota, Metazoa, Arthropoda, Arachnida, Araneae, Nephilidae.
AUACCUGUAGCGCAAUGGAUAGUACGUUGGACUUCUGAUUCAAAAGUCGUGGGUUCGAUUCCCACCUGGGAUG